This 433-nucleotide ribosomal RNA is filed under the name uncultured bacterium. RNAcentral's name for it is "partial 16S ribosomal RNA". It matches the Rfam family "Bacterial small subunit ribosomal RNA", at positions 29 to 507 of the family's 1533-position model. The record is from RNAcentral.
AACGAACGCUGGCGGCAUGCCUAACACAUGCAAGUCGAACGAGACCUUCGGGUCUAGUGGCGCACGGGUGCGUAACGCGUGGGAACCUGCCCUUAGGUUCGGAAUAACUCCCCGAAAGGGGUGCUAAUACCGGAUAAUGUCUUCGGACCAAAGAUUUAUCGCCUUUGGAUGGGCCCGCGUUGGAUUAGCUAGUUGGUAGGGUAAAAGCCUACCAAGGCGACGAUCCAUAGCUGGUCUGAGAGGAUGAUCAGCCACACUGGGACUGAGACACGGCCCAGACUCCAACGGGAGGCAGCAGUGGGGAAUAUUGGACAAUGGGCGAAAGCCUGAUCCAGCAAUGCCGCGUGAGUGAUGAAGGCCUUAGGGUUGUAAAGCUCUUUUACCCGGGAUGAUAAUGACAGUACCGUGAGAAUAAGCUCCGGCUAACUCCGUG